Fukomys damarensis (Damara mole-rat) is the source of this 184-nucleotide long non-coding RNA. RefSeq lists it as uncharacterized. The transcript is spliced from 3 exons. Lineage: Eukaryota; Metazoa; Chordata; Mammalia; Rodentia; Bathyergidae. The record is from RefSeq and is a predicted model, not a curated record.
CUGUACUGUCCUUUUGUCAAACACUGUUUUCUUUGACUUUUAGAAAAGAGCGAGUAAAGAGUAAAGAUAUAUGGUGUUCCCACCCAGCAUUGACUUGUUUUCCUUCGAAGCUGCCUCCCCCUGAUUCUCCAGAGCUGAGAAAACAGAAGUCCUCAGUGAAGAUCUGCUACAGAUUGAGCGGCGC